UGACGGUUGAGAAUCUUCACCCAUGAAAUAACUGGUUGCCCAGUUUAAUAAUAUAAAAAAAACAAACAAAAGCUUAGGCAAGUCUUCAAUCUUACAUCAUCAUCCACUAGUGCAGAAGCUAUCUGAAUUAGUCAUCUCUUAAACAAAUUCCACUCUACAAUAUCCCAUCCUCUCUUAUCUCUGGUGAGACGUGAGAGGGUUAAAAAGAAAAAAAGGGGGAAAAUCUACAAUAAAAGAAAGAGCACCCAGUCUUUGGUCAUACAAUUGAUCAUUCUCAACUGUUAAUCGUCAAAGAAUGGAACAACUGCAUAGUGCAAUAUGUUAUAGCAAGAUUUGGCCUUUGAUGAGAACUCUAAAAGCGGUGGCAGAGUAUCAAGAACAGUUUAACCAUCAUCAAAUUCUCAAUUCUCCACCCCAUCUAACUGCAUUUCUUGGUACCGGCAUUCUUGACUGCAAAAGGCCUUUUCACCUCUGCAUAAUUACAAAGUGGGGGAAAAGUUAGUCCAAGAGGAAUUAUAGUUUUAACAUAGCAAGUCACUCCAUAAUUACUGGCAAGAUCAAAUGAGAAUGAGGUCUUUGAAAUCCUGAAAACUUAUGAAGGCUUGGUCUAUCUAAUUGAACCCAGUAAUGUCAUCAAAGAAGAGGGAAGGGUCAAACCUGUAAAUGAAAAUGUCAUUUGUCUGUUCCAGAUUCUUCUUGCAUGUGUGACAGAAGCUGAGGAAACUCUUUUGGGCAGCGUUGGACUCAUCUGAUAAAGAACAAUAAUUCUCCAAAACACAGUUGUCAAAUAUAUGAGUGGUUUUUGGAUUAGGACCAUAAGAUAUCACACACGUAUAGUCCUCAGAGAGGACUAUCUCGCUCAUAGAUAUACAUCCUGUGAGCACCCUAGGAGAAGAGUUUGUUUGGAUUCCAGAAUUUGUAGACCCAGAUGCUGCUAAUUGACAAUUCCUAGUUUUAAUUCCAAAAUCAGCUGGGGAUUUAGGUGACUCAGUUGGAGAAAGCAUAAAGUUUGCAAGUGGUGGGAUUUGGACUCUCAGACUGGUUCCAAACAAGACCAUUCUGUUACUGGGUUCAGAAAAAGAGCUAUUGAUCUUUUCGUUGGGUUUUUCAUCAAUAAGCGCAACACCAAUGCCUUUUGAGUCUAAUAUGUCCCAUGAGCGUUGAUUCUCUGAGAAAACUCUUGGGGAUUUAGGUUGGUUCAUGUCAUACCAAAACGGGUUUUUGAAGGGAGAGAGAGAUUUAGUAGAGUCAAGAAUUGAGGUAGGACUAAUCACAGCCUCAGUUUCAGGAAUAGCCUUAAACGUGAAAGCUUCGAACCUUGGAGAACCAAAGAAAGAUGGAGUUGGUUUUGUGUGGUUCUGGAUUGGAGGAGAUUGAGAACUGUGAUCAGUCAUUAAAGCUUGCUUGCUGGUUACUGCUCUAGAUCUAUUCCUCAGCAUAACUUCCUCUGUAUUAGAUAAUUCUCAGCCCCUCCAAAGUCGCUGAGAUUACUGUAGUUAGACUAUGGAAGAGAUGAUCAUAAAUCGUUUCUAGUAAUUGUCACAACUCAGAAACUCACAAGAGCCACCUUUACAGAUUCCGAAGUAGAAUACUAUCCACGCCCCAGACACCAGAAAAGAAAAAAGGAAAAAUUUUUAAACAAAAAAGAAAUCUGACACCGACGCUCACACACACACACUCUUGGGAAAUUGAAAUGCCUCCUAAAUCUCUUUAGCCUCCAUGACUGGGCAAUAAAAAGAAAGAGAAAAGAAAGACUCUGUUGUUCUCUCUAUCUCCGUCUCUUGUUCUAUUCUUUUCCCUUACUCCUUCAACGAGAAAAAGAAUCAAUUCCCAUCACAAUAACCCAUAUGCAAGCCAAAUGAUCAGCAGGCAAUAUGCAGAAGAGCCCUGACAUUUAGGGCAAAAAGAAGAAAAUCUAUAUGGACAAAAAAGGCAAAGGCUUCGGGCAGAAAGGCAGAAAUGGUUAAGUUGUUUUGCCAAUCCCCAUGAAAAAGGAACAAGACCGGAGGGCCAUAAGAUAAGUUAC
This 2026-nucleotide unclassified non-coding RNA is filed under the name Hevea brasiliensis (rubber tree). Lineage: Eukaryota; Viridiplantae; Streptophyta; Magnoliopsida; Malpighiales; Euphorbiaceae. The record is from RNAcentral.